AACGUACGCUGGCGGCACGCCUAACACAUGCAAGUCGAACGAAGUAGCAAUACUUAGUUGGCAGACGGGUGAGUAACAUGUAGGUAUCUGCCCUUUGGCCUGGAAUAACACGAGGAAACUUGUGCUAAUACCGGAUAAGUCUUUACGGAGAAAGCUUUAUGCACCAUUGGAUGAGCCUGCACUUGAUUAGUUUGUUGGUGGGGUAAUGGCCUACCAAGACUUUGAUCAAUAGCUGAUUUGAGAGGAUGAUCAGCCACAUUGGGACUGAGACACGGCCCAAACUCCUACGGGAGGCAGCAGUGGGGAAUCUUGCACAAUGGAGGAAACUCUGAUGCAGCGAUGCCGCGUGAGUGAAGAAGGCCCUUGGGUUGUAAAGCUCUUUCGUCGGGGAAGAAAAUGACUGUACCCGAAUAAGAAGGUCCGGCUAACUUCGUGCCAGCAGCCGCGGUAAUACGAAGGGACCUAGCGUAGUUCGGAAUUACUGGGCUUAAAGAGUUCGUAGGUGGUUGAAAAAGUUGGUGGUGAAAUCCCAGAGCUUAACUCUGGAACUGCCAUCAAAACUUUUCAGCUAGAGUAUGAUAGAGGAAAGCAGAAUUUCUAGUGUAGAGGUGAAAUUCGUAGAUAUUAGAAAGAAUACCAAUUGCGAAGGCAGCUUUCUGGAUCAUUACUGACACUGAGGAACGAAAGCAUGGGUAGCGAAGAGGAUUAGAUACCCUCGUAGUCCAUGCCGUAAACGAUGUGUGUUAGACGUUGGAAAUUUAUUUUCAGUGUCGCAGCGAAAGCGAUAAACACACCGCCUGGGGAGUACGACCGCAAGGUUAAAACUCAAAUGAAUUGACGGGGACCCGCACAAGUAGUGGAGCAUGUGGUUUAAUUCGAAGAUACGCGCAGAACCUUACCAACACUUGACAUGUUCGUCGCGACUCUAAGAGAUUAGAGUUUUCGGUUCGGCCGGACGAAACACAGGUGCUGCAUGGCUGUCGUCAGCUCGUGUCGUGAGAUGUUGGGUUAAGUCCCGCAACGAGCGCAACCCUCACUUUUAGUUGCCAUCAUUAAGUUGGGCACUCUGAAAGAACUGCCAGUGAUAAGCUGGAGGAAGGUGGGGAUGACGUCAAGUCCUCAUGGCCCUUACGUGUUGGGGCUACACACGUGCUACAAUGGUAUCUACAACAGGAAGCGAGACGGCGACGUCAAGCAAAUCCUUAAAAGAUACCUCAGUUCGGAUUGCACUCUGCAACUCGAGUGCAUGAAAGCUGGAAUUACUAGUAAUCGUGGAUCAGCGUGCCACGGUGAAUGCGUUCCCGGGUCU
This 1309-nucleotide ribosomal RNA is filed under the name uncultured bacterium. RNAcentral describes it as "bacterial SSU rRNA". It matches the Rfam family "Bacterial small subunit ribosomal RNA", at positions 28 to 1381 of the family's 1533-position model. The record is from RNAcentral.